CAAUUUUUCCAUCCCAAAUCACUAAUGAGCGUGAGUCUAUGAUAAUGGUGAAGAAACUUUUUGCUACUUCUGUUUCCUGUAUAACAUAUAUAAGGGGACUAUUUCCAGAGAGUUCUUAUGGAGAACGCCAUUUAGACGCUCCUUGUAUUCCAAGAAAGAAUGCAUCUGAGACCAUUGCUACUUAAUUACUUCAAUUUUUCGGACUCUCACAUUUGCCUACAAAGCUCGGUUGUGAUAACAAUUUAGGACCUCUGGUUGAGUUGUCACUUCAAUGGGAACAAUCCUUUGGAAAGUGAAGAGUCACAAGCUUCUUUACCUCAAUUUAAAAAUCCUCCGAGAAGAUAAAAAAUGCCCCGGGUCACUGCAUAUUAUCAAAUGGAUCCAAGGUUGUUUUGAUGCGCUGGAAAAGAAAUAUCUACACAUGGCAGUACUGACACUUUACACAAGUCCCAAUGAGCCCGAGAAAGUGACAGAGAUAUAUCAGUUUAAAUUCAAUUACACAAAAGAAGGAGCCAGUAUGGAUUUUGGCAGGUA
This is a long non-coding RNA of Echinops telfairi (small Madagascar hedgehog), 534 nucleotides long. RefSeq lists it as uncharacterized. The transcript is spliced from 7 exons. NCBI's taxonomy places the organism in Eukaryota, Metazoa, Chordata, Mammalia, Afrosoricida, Tenrecidae. The record is from RefSeq and is a predicted model, not a curated record.